Molecule: ribosomal RNA, 460 nt
Filed under: uncultured bacterium
Lineage: Bacteria
Description: partial 16S ribosomal RNA
Rfam family: Bacterial small subunit ribosomal RNA
Source: RNAcentral
CCUACGGGAGGCAGCAGUGAGGAAUAUUGGUCAAUGGACGAGAGUCUGAACCAGCCAAGUAGCGUGAAGGAUGACUGCCCUAUGGGUUGUAAACUUCUUUUAUAUGGGAAUAAAAUGUUCCACGUGUGGGAUUUUGUAUGUACCAUAUGAAUAAGGAUCGGCUAACUCCGUGCCAGCAGCCGCGGUAAUACGGAGGAUCCGAGCGUUAUCCGGAUUUAUUGGGUUUAAAGGGAGAGUAGGUGGAUUGUUAAGUCAGUUGUGAAAGUUUGCGGUUCAACCGUAAAAUUGCAGUUGAAACUGGCAGUCUUGAGUACAGUAGAGGUGGGCGGAAUUCGUGGUGUAGCGGUGAAAUGCUUAGAUAUCACGAAGAACUCCGAUUGCGAAGGCAGUUCACUGGACUGCAACUGACACUGAGGCUCGAAAGUGUGGGUAUCAAACAGGAUUAGAUACCCUUGUAGUC